RNAcentral lists this ribosomal RNA (690 nucleotides) under Triticum aestivum (bread wheat). RNAcentral's name for it is "partial small subunit ribosomal RNA". Lineage: Eukaryota; Viridiplantae; Streptophyta; Magnoliopsida; Poales; Poaceae. The record is from RNAcentral.
AUGCGACGGUCGACGCGGCUGCUAGGGAAAGGAACGGCGGCGCCGGCGGCUGGUGUGGGAGUGGAGACACGCGCAUCGUCGUCGCACUCCAUGGACGAUGACGGCACAGAUUCCAGAAUGGACGAGGACGAAUGUACUGCUGAUGGGUCAUUCUCAACACGUUUCUCAGCAACCCGGCUGCGUCAAGUUCCGAAUCUUCAGUCUGAAACUAAGAAGCAAAUUAUUAGCAAAAGCAGCUUUGGGUCCCUCCUAAACAUCAGUUCUUUCUCUAUGCCGGCUGAUUUGCUUGAUUGGAUAGUGAUGAAAAUUGACACAGAAAAGGCAAUGUUUAGUCACAAGAAGAAGUCUAUAUUGUUCACGAAAGACAUGGUGCGAAAAAUUUUCAAUGUACCUUCUGGGUCAAGGCCAGUGGAGCUGUUGAGGAGGAAUGAGCCUCAUGCGCUCCGUGAACCCUAUCGAGUAGGGUCAAGGUCUCCAAUGAAGCAUGCUAUUCAAGUGCUGGAGGCAACAGAUGAUCGUGAUGUAGUUUCCAUUAACAUGACUUGGGUGCUUUUAUGCAUUGCUCUUGUGCUAUCUCCUGGGACUGGCAACAUGGUCCCCCUAGAGUAUGUUGCGAGCUUGGUUGACAUGGACAAGAUCAAUGAGUUUGCGUGGGAUGGCAUUUCCUGGCUGCUGCUUUCAAGGAGGUGA